UUGAAAAGUUGAAGGACCUUUUUUUGGUUCUUUGGCGCACCCAUCGAUGUGCCUAAUUUGUGGUUGUCCUAAACCAAUUCGAGAAGGGAUAUUAUGUCCGAUACAAGGGUGGGUCUACAAUAAACAAUAACACAGUAUGCGAGUUAUGAAGAAGAAAAGGUGAGAGAAGGGAAUGCUAGUUUCAAUCAAGCGUAUAUCCAAGGUAGGCUCCUAAACUAGCACAGUGUAAA
RNAcentral lists this small RNA (230 nucleotides) under Vigna angularis var. angularis. RNAcentral's name for it is "Non-protein coding transcript". Lineage: Eukaryota; Viridiplantae; Streptophyta; Magnoliopsida; Fabales; Fabaceae. The record is from RNAcentral.